This 216-nucleotide ribosomal RNA is filed under the name uncultured bacterium. Its description in RNAcentral is "partial 16S ribosomal RNA". It matches the Rfam family "Bacterial small subunit ribosomal RNA", at positions 1287 to 1500 of the family's 1533-position model. The record is from RNAcentral.
CUCAGUUCGGACUGUAGGCUGCAACUCGCCUACACGAAGCUGGAAUCGCUAGUAAUCGCGGAUCAGCACGCCGCGGUGAAUACGUUCCCGGGCCUUGUACACACCGCCCGUCACACCAUGAGAGUCUGUAACACCCAAAGCCGGUGGGAUAACCUUUAUAGGAGUCAGCCGUCUAAGGUAGGACAGAUGAUUAGGGUGAAGUCGUAACAAGGUAUC